GGGCUCUUAGCUCAGUUGGUUAGAGCGCCACGUUUACACCGUGGAUGUCGGGGGUUCGAAUCCCUCAGGGCCCACCG
This 77-nucleotide transfer RNA is filed under the name Amnibacterium flavum. RNAcentral's name for it is "Amnibacterium sp. M8JJ-5 tRNA-Val". It matches the Rfam family "tRNA". From Rfam's summary of the family: Transfer RNA (tRNA) molecules are approximately 80 nucleotides in length. Their secondary structure includes four short double-helical elements and three loops (D, anti-codon, and T loops). Lineage: Bacteria; Bacillati; Actinomycetota; Actinomycetes; Micrococcales; Microbacteriaceae. The record is from RNAcentral.